AUUGAACGCUGGCGGAAUGCUUUACACAUGCAAGUCGAGCGGCAGCGCGGGGCAACCUGGCGGCGAGCGGCGAACGGGUGAGUAACACAUCGGAACGUGCCCAGACGUGGGGGAUAGCCCGGCGAAAGCCGGAUUAAUACCGCAUGUGAUCUGAGGAUGAAAGUGGGGGACCGCAAGGCCUCACGCGUUUGGAGCGGCCGAUGGCAGAUUAGGUAGUUGGUGGGGUAAAGGCUUACCAAGCCUGCGAUCUGUAGCUGGUCUGAGAGGAUGAUCAGCCACACUGGGACUGAGACACGGCCCAGACUCCUACGGGAGGCAGCAGUGGGGAAUUUUGGACAAUGGGCGCAAGCCUGAUCCAGCCAUUCCGCGUGAGUGAAGAAGGCCU
This 385-nucleotide ribosomal RNA is filed under the name uncultured bacterium. Its description in RNAcentral is "bacterial SSU rRNA". It matches the Rfam family "Bacterial small subunit ribosomal RNA", at positions 29 to 417 of the family's 1533-position model. The record is from RNAcentral.